Molecule: long non-coding RNA, 1329 nt
Organism: Raphanus sativus (radish)
Lineage: Eukaryota; Viridiplantae; Streptophyta; Magnoliopsida; Brassicales; Brassicaceae
Exons: 5
Source: RefSeq, a predicted model, not a curated record
ACCACAACAUAAUCUUUUCUAGAGCUAAAAACCACAGACGAUUUUAUGGUUGAUGUAAUCGGUCAAGUUGUUGAGGUGUCGCAUAUUGAGGUUGUGUCUGUUAAUGGCAAAUGACACAGAGAAGAUUACAGUGGAGCUACGCAACUAAGAAUCCUCUCUUCGCCAUGCUCAGCUCCACCGUCGUUGCCGUGCUCAUCGUCGGAAUUAAGUCACGCCGUCGCGUCUCAUUGGCUCCUCCAUGACAAGCUUUGUUCGUGUUCAUCAAUGGAGAUAUUUCUUCAAUUUGCAAGAUUGGUCCUUUAGAUUUUUAGUUCUUUCUUUUCGGCCACAAGACUUCGAAUUUGCAAAUGCAACCUCAUGAAUUGAACCCAAACAUUUUACAGUGAAACCUCUAUAAAUUAAUAAUGUUAGGACUACACCAAAACUAUAUUUUUUAUUAAUUUAUAGAGAUUAUUAAUUUAUCGAGAUACUAAUUGAACCAAAAAUUCAAUUUAGGACUAUGAAAUUAUAUUAAUUUAUAGAGAUAUUAAUUUAUAGAUUAUUAAUUUAAAGAUGUUAUACUGUACUGUGCAAAACAGACCUCCAUAUUUGCGCAAACCGUCCUUGAACUUCUGGAUGUGAAUAUAAGAAUAUAAAAAAUCUGUUACAAUAUAAGAAUAUACCUACAUAAAACAAUUUAUAUGCCAUGAAAAUCUUGACAUUGUUCAUAGAUCACACAUAAAAUCCUCAUACUGUAUCUUUUUAACAGUAAAUGAGGAACAUAACUAUAAAGUUGAAUUACUUCGUAGAAUCCCAAGUGGUGUGAUUGUGGUUUUGUUUUCCUUGGAUGGUUUUUAUGAACUGUCUUUGGAGAACGUGGCAGAAGCAGCUCGAUGUAAAAGUCUCAAACUUCUUUUGGAUCCUUAAUUUGUAUCUCCCAAGCCACAACCUUCAGGUCCUAACAAUUUUGGCUGUGAUUUCUCAAGUUAUGUCAAAUGAGGUUGACUAAACUCAGCUCAUUUGGACUCUGUUUAGUUGAAACAGAAGAAACGGAGCAGCAGCAAAGUCAGAAACUUCAAAGUGAUGGCUCUCCAAUUUGAUAACAGCACAAUCAAUAGAGUUGAGUCUCUUCUUAAAAGACACAAUUUGUGUACUGAUACUCUUGUUAUACAGUCCGCAAGCUAUCUUCAAAGAGCCUUUACGUGGAGGCAAUAACAUUUUGAUUGAAGAAAGGUGUUAGAAGGACCUUCAAUCUGAUAGCAGAGGUGGUGUUCGUGAGCAGAUAGGCGGAGCAGUCGUAAGCAGAGAGAGGCAUUAGCUUCGUUAAGAUUAGAUUUAGAUUAGUUUUUG